This 334-nucleotide long non-coding RNA is filed under the name Mytilus galloprovincialis (Mediterranean mussel). Lineage: Eukaryota; Metazoa; Mollusca; Bivalvia; Mytilida; Mytilidae. The record is from RNAcentral.
GGGGGUCUUGCCACGAAGAAUAAAACGUUACGCAAUCGUGAAGUCAACUCAUUUUUUUUCUACUGUCUGUUUGCUAUUUUUACUAGACCUCACCACUUCAAGUAAACAUGAUAUCCUUCCAUUUUCCUGGAAUGAUAUCCCAAAAAGAUGCAAGAUUUUUUAAAAAGUCUAUAUUUAUGUUUCCAUUCACCAUAAACCUAUAAACAAACAGAAAAAAAUGAGUUCAGAAAAAAAUUCAGUCUACUAAAUUAUCUGUAAAUCUCAUUCUUGUCUAUCUUUAUGAAUAACCUGACCAUGCACAGUUGUACAGCGGUUCACUGAGGUAACCUGACCA